AUCAGAAUGCCACGGUGAAUACGUUCCCGGGCCUUGUACACACCGCCCGUCACACCAUGGGAGUGGGCUGCAAAAGAAGUAGGUAGUUUAACCUUCGGGGGGACGCUUACCACUUUGUGGUUCAUGACUGGGGUGAAGUCGUAACAAGGUAGCGCUAGGGGAACCUGGCGCUGGAUCACCUCCUUAAACGAUGAU
This 195-nucleotide ribosomal RNA is filed under the name Vibrio parahaemolyticus. RNAcentral describes it as "partial 16S ribosomal RNA". It matches the Rfam family "Bacterial small subunit ribosomal RNA", at positions 1348 to 1533 of the family's 1533-position model. Lineage: Bacteria; Pseudomonadati; Pseudomonadota; Gammaproteobacteria; Vibrionales; Vibrionaceae. The record is from RNAcentral.